RNAcentral lists this ribosomal RNA (486 nucleotides) under uncultured bacterium. RNAcentral's name for it is "partial 16S ribosomal RNA". It matches the Rfam family "Bacterial small subunit ribosomal RNA", at positions 899 to 1397 of the family's 1533-position model. The record is from RNAcentral.
ACUCAAAUGAAUUGACGGGGGCCCGCACAAGCAGCGGAGCGUGUGGUUUAAUUCGAGGCUACACGAAGAACCUUACCUGGGGUUGACAUCAGGCUAGUACCGAGGGGAAACCUGAGGGACCGCAAGGAAGCCUGACAGGUGCUGCAUGGCUGUCGUCAGCUCGUGCCGUGAGGUGUUAGGUUAAGUCCUGUAACGAGCGCAACCCUCGGCUUCAGUUACACGGAGUCUGAAGCGACUGCCCGUGACAAGCGGGAGGAAGGUGGGGAUGACGUCAAGUCAGCAUGGCCUUUAUCUCCAGGGCUACACACACGCUACAAUGGCCGGUACAAUGGGUCGCCAAGCCGCAAGGCGGAGCCAAUCCAGCCAAAGCCGGUCUCAGUUCGGAUUGAGGGCUGCAACUCGCCCUCAUGAAGUCGGAGUUGCUAGUAACCGCCGGUCAGCCAUACGGCGGUGAAUACGUUCCCGGGCCUUGCACACACCGCCCGU